Molecule: ribosomal RNA, 468 nt
Filed under: uncultured bacterium
Lineage: Bacteria
Description: partial 16S ribosomal RNA
Rfam family: Bacterial small subunit ribosomal RNA
Source: RNAcentral
GACGAACGCUGGCGGCGUGCUUAACACAUGCAAGUCGAACGGAAAGGCCCUGCUUUUGUGGGGGGCUCGAGUGGCGAACGGGUGAGUAACACGUGAGUAACCUGCCCUUGACUUUGGGAUAACUUCAGGAAACUGGGGCUAAUACCGGAUAGGAGCUCCUGCUGCAUGGUGGGGGUUGGAAAGUUUCGGCGGUUGGGGAUGGACUCGCGGCUUAUCAGCUUGUUGGUGGGGUAGUGGCUUACCAAGGCUUUGACGGGUAGCCGGCCUGAGAGGGUGACCGGCCACAUUGGGACUGAGGGACGGCCCAGACUCCUACGGGAGGCAGCAGUGGGGAAUAUUGCACAGUGGGCGGAAGCCUGAGGCAGCAACGCCGCGUGCGGGAUGACGGCCUUCGGGUUGUGAACCGCUUUCGCCUGUGACGAAGCGUGAGUGACGGUAAUGGGUAAAGAAGCACCGGCUAACUACGUG